GUGAACGCUGGCGGUAGGCCUAACACAUGCAAGUCGAACGGCAGCACAGUAAGAGCUUGCUCUUACGGGUGGCGAGUGGCGGACGGGUGAGGAAUACAUCGGAAUCUACUUUUUCGUGGGGGAUAACGUAGGGAAACUUACGCUAAUACCGCAUACGACCUACGGGUGAAAGCAGGGGAUCUUCGGACCUUGCGCGAUUGAAUGAGCCGAUGUCGGAUUAGCUAGUUGGCGGGGUAAAGGCCCACCAAGGCGACGAUCCGUAGCUGGUCUGAGAGGAUGAUCAGCCACACUGGAACUGAGACACGGUCCAGACUCCUACGGGAGGCAGCAGUGGGGAAUAUUGGACAAUGGGCGCAAGCCUGAUCCAGCCAUACCGCGUGGGUGAAGAAGGCCUUCGGGUUGUAAAGCCCUUUUGUUGGGAAAGAAAAGCAGCAGGUUAAUACCCCGCUGUUCUGACGGUACCCAAAAAAUAAGCACCGGCUAACUUCGUG
This 491-nucleotide ribosomal RNA is filed under the name uncultured bacterium. RNAcentral's name for it is "partial 16S ribosomal RNA". It matches the Rfam family "Bacterial small subunit ribosomal RNA", at positions 29 to 507 of the family's 1533-position model. The record is from RNAcentral.